RNAcentral lists this ribosomal RNA (460 nucleotides) under uncultured bacterium. RNAcentral describes it as "partial 16S ribosomal RNA". It matches the Rfam family "Bacterial small subunit ribosomal RNA", at positions 338 to 795 of the family's 1533-position model. The record is from RNAcentral.
CCUACGGGCGGCAGCAGUGAGGAAUAUUGGUCAAUGGACGAGAGUCUGAACCAGCAAAGUCGCGUGAAGGAUGACUGCCCUAUGGGUUGUAAACUUCUUUUAUAUGGGAAUAUAGUGUUCCAUGUGUGGGGUUUUGUAUGUACCAUAUGAAUAAGGAUCGGCUAACUCCGUGCCAGCAGCCGCGGUAAUACGCAGGAUCCGAGCGUUAUCCGGAUUUAUUGGGUUUAAAGGGAGUGUAGGUGGAUUUUUAAGUCAGUUGUGAAAGUUUGCGGCUUAACCGUAUAAUUGCAGUUGAAACUGGUAGUCUUGAGUACAGUAGAGGCGGGCGGAAUUCGUGGUGUAGCGGUGAAAUGCUUAGAUAUCACGAAGAACUCCGAUUGCGAAGGCAGCUCACUGGACUGCAACUGACACUGAGGCGCGAAAGUGUGGGUAUCAAACAGGAUUAGAUACCCUAGUAGUC